ACGCUAGCGGCGUGCUCAUACAUGUCAGUCGAGCGAACUUUUGGGAGCUUGCUCCCAAAAGUUAGCGGCGGACGGGUGAGUAACACGUGGGCAACCUGCCUAUAAGACUGGGAUAACUUCGGGAAACCGGAGCUAAUACCGGAUCAUUCUUUUCUACACAUGUAGGAAAGCUAAAAGACGGUUUACGCUGUCACUUAUAGAUGGGCCCGCGGCGCAUUAGCUAGUUGGUGAGGUAACGGCUCACCAAGGCCACGAUGCGUAGCCGACCUGAGAGGGUGAUCGGCCACACUGGGACUGAGACACGGCCCAGACUCCUACGGGAGGCAGCAGUAGGGAAUCUUCCGCAAUGGACGAAAGUCUGACGGAGCAACGCCGCGUGAGUGAUGAAGGUUUUCGGAUCGUAAAACUCUGUUGUUAGGGAAGAACAAGUACGAGAGUAACUGCUCGUACCUUGACGGUACCUAACCAGAAAGCCACGGCUAACUACGUGCCAGCAGCCGCGGUAAUACGUAGGUGGCAAGCGUUGU
Molecule: ribosomal RNA, 527 nt
Filed under: uncultured bacterium
Lineage: Bacteria
Description: bacterial SSU rRNA
Rfam family: Bacterial small subunit ribosomal RNA
Source: RNAcentral